UACAGAGACCUCAAGCGUUAUCCGGAAUCAUUGGGCGUAAAGCGUACCGAUAGGUGGUUUUACAAGUCAGAGGUGAAAUCCCAAGGCUCAACUUUGGGACUGUCCUUUGAAACUGUACAACUAGAGGGGCAAAGAGGAAGCUGGAACGAACGGUGUAGUAGUGAAAUGCGUUGAUAUCGGAAGGAACACCAGUGGCGAAAGCGGCUUCCUGGUCCAGCACCGACGUUCAGGCACGAAAGCGUGGGGAGCAAACAGG
RNAcentral lists this ribosomal RNA (256 nucleotides) under uncultured bacterium. Its description in RNAcentral is "partial 16S ribosomal RNA". It matches the Rfam family "Bacterial small subunit ribosomal RNA", at positions 524 to 776 of the family's 1533-position model. The record is from RNAcentral.